Molecule: long non-coding RNA, 1931 nt
Filed under: Marmota monax (woodchuck)
Lineage: Eukaryota; Metazoa; Chordata; Mammalia; Rodentia; Sciuridae
Source: RNAcentral
CUUUUAUAUGUUCACAAUAUUAUAUUUAGCAUAUACAUGACAUAUUAUUCAUAACAUGUAGAAAAUAUUAAUUAAGUAUAUAGAAUAUUAAAUGGUAUCAUGUAUUUUACAUUCUUUAUACAUUAUGUAAUAAAAUCAUUAUACCAGGCGCAGUGGGGCACACCUAUAAUUCCAGGAACUUGAGUGGCUGAGGCAGGAGGAUCGCAAGUUCAAGGCUAGCCUCAGCAACUUAGAGAGGUUGGAAAUGUAUCUCUGUACUAAAGUGCCCCUGGUUUCAAUCCCCAGUGCCAAAAUAAAAAAAUAAUAUCUUCAUGUUCAAUUGUUGCUUAAAUACGGGGCUGGGGAUGUGGCUCAAGCGGUAGUGCGCUCGCCUGGCAUGCGUGCAGCCCAGGUUCGAUCCUCAGCACCACAUACAAAGAUGUUGUGUCUGCCGAGAACUAAAAAAUAAAUAUUAAAAAUUCUCUCUCUCUCUCUUUAAAAAAAUAAAAAAAACACCAAACAAUUGUUGCUUAAAUAUGAUUUUAUAUGUGCGAAUAUGUAUAAUGUAUAAUAUGGUAUAAUGUGCAAGCAUUAUAAGCAUUAUAUGUGAAAUAUGAUUAUAUAAAACAAUAUUACAUACAAAGUUUACAAAGAUAAUUGUUACAUAUAAUUUUAUGGCUGUAUUCUAUGUAGUAUAGGUGAUAGUAUAUACUCUGUAGUAUUACAUGUUAUGUUACAUUUGAAAUAUGUAUUGCCCAUAUUAUUUGUCCUACAUAUUACAUGUUAUAAAAUUUAUAAUGAUACAGAAUUUCACAUACUGUCACAUAAAAUAAUGAUUGCAUGUACAUUAUAUAAUGUAGAUUACGUAUACUUGUGUGUAACUUAUGAAAAUUUAUUUCCAGUCAUAAUGGAUUGUGUUUACUUCAAUAUGGAAUCACUUUCUGUUUUAGUUACCUUUUUUGUCACUGUUACCAAAACACCCAACAAGAACGACUUAGAGAAGGAAAAAUUUACUUGGAACUCAAAAUUUCAAAUGUCUAAUAAGUCCACAGAUAGCUGACUCCAUUACUCCUGGUUCCAGGUGAGGCAGUAUAUCAUGGUAAAAAUGGCACGAGCAGGAAAGUAGCUCAGAUUAUGGUGGGGUCAGGAAGGAGAGAGAGAAAAAGAGACCAAGGAGCCAUAGGGAAGCUAGACACUUCUAGGGUAAACCUCUGAUGCCUACACUUACCACUCAGUCUGUCCAUUCGAACUAGGAUGUACUCAUUAGGUCAUAGCUCUAAUAAUCCAAUCAUUUCACCUCCAAACUUUCCUGCAUCAACAGGAGUUUUAGAGGUACAUCUCAUAUCCAAAUCUUAACACUUUGUCAUAUAGUCAUGAAAUUUUUUAUCUUACUGUUCUAAAUAAUAAAUAUAAAGUGAGAUGUAUCAAAUGCAAAUGUUUUCACUAAAGCAUAAGCAUAUUAUAUAUCUAAUAUAUAAUAACUAUGCAAAAAAAUAUUGCAUAUUAAAUAUAUAUCAUUACUUUGUAUUAUUAGUAUUUUUUGGUGCCACGAAUUGAACACAGGGGUACUUAUUCACUAAUCCACAUCCCCAGUGCUUCUUAUUAUUCAUUUUUUUGGGGGGGUGGGGGUUUGUUUUGUCUUGUUGAUACCAGGGAUUGAACUCAGGGGCCCUCAACCACUGAGCUAUAUCCCAGCCCUAUAUUUUAUUUUAUUUAGAGACAGGGUCUCACUGAGUUGCUAAGUGCCUUGUCCUUGCUGAGGCUGGCUUUGAACUUGUGAUCCUCCUGCCUCAGCCUUGUCUCACACUGGGGUUUUGGGGGACACCUCACAUCCAAACCAUAACAUCCACCAAGAUAGCCACCAUGAAGGAGACAUCUGACAAGGAGGAGAGUUUGAUAGGGUGUGUCAGUCAGGGAAGGCAACACAGAAACACACACAGACACACACUUAC